This 269-nucleotide unclassified non-coding RNA is filed under the name Hevea brasiliensis (rubber tree). Lineage: Eukaryota; Viridiplantae; Streptophyta; Magnoliopsida; Malpighiales; Euphorbiaceae. The record is from RNAcentral.
UUUUAAGGUUGGCAAGAACAUCUUUCAUGCCUACCCUCUCCUCUGGCGAAUCUGCAGAACAUUCAAGAGCCAACUUGAAAAUGGAUGUUAUACAUUCUUUAUUGGCUUCAGAACGUUCUUCAUUGCCAAUUAGCAAGUGAACAUCAGCAACUUGAGUGACUGCAUCAGGUAAAGAUUGCUUGACCCAAUUCUUCAAGUUCAUUUCCCCGGAAAACAUUUCAUCUGUAGGCUUUUUCCUUGUAAAAGUCUCCAUCAACAGUAUUCCAUAG